This 412-nucleotide long non-coding RNA is filed under the name Sinocyclocheilus anshuiensis. Its description in RNAcentral is "lncRNA (ENSSANG00000021931.1)". The record is from RNAcentral. Lineage: Eukaryota; Metazoa; Chordata; Actinopteri; Cypriniformes; Cyprinidae.
CACGAUAUGGAAAAUGCUAUUUUAUCAUCUCUUUGACUUCCAGGCCUUUCUCUCUCAGAUGAGUGGGUGAUUAAAACACUGUCAGCAGAGGCCAAACAGGGAUCCAUAGACAAGACAAAUGUUUAUACAGCUGAUCCCUCAUCGCUGGGGAAAAACGCAGAACCUCCGCAUUGUGUUUGCUCAAUUUGAAGGGUAAUGGAAAUGCAGCUAAUGUCAACAUGGACAUUUGUGACGAGAGCCAAGAAGUGUCUUGGAAUCAGAAACCAUAAAUAGUAAAAAAAAAAAAAAAAAUUACAAAUAAAUAAAAACGCCAAAAUUGAUGCUCGGAAAUCUCACAUGCUACUGUACUCAGGUGAGCAUAAAUACACACCUGCAUGACUCAAGGUGGUGAUACAAUAUGCUAAUUUUCUCC